UACAGAGGGUGCAAGCGUUGUUCGGAAUUACUGGGCGUAAAGAGUGUGUAGGCGGUGCUCUAAGUUCGGUGUGAAAUCUCCCGGCUUAACUGGGAGGGUGCGCCGGAAACUGGAGUGCUUGAGCGCGGGAGAGGAAAGCGGAAUUCCUGGUGUAGCGGUGAAAUGCGUAGAUAUCAGGAGGAACACCUGUGGUGUAGACGGCUUUCUGGACCGUAGCUGACGCUGAGACACGAAAGCGUGGGUAGCAAACAGG
Molecule: ribosomal RNA, 253 nt
Filed under: uncultured bacterium
Lineage: Bacteria
Description: partial 16S ribosomal RNA
Rfam family: Bacterial small subunit ribosomal RNA
Source: RNAcentral